Molecule: non-coding RNA, 146 nt
Organism: Bemisia tabaci
Lineage: Eukaryota; Metazoa; Arthropoda; Insecta; Hemiptera; Aleyrodidae
Source: RefSeq, a predicted model, not a curated record
CUCUUAGCAGAACGAGAGCCAUAAUGGAUCAGGAAAUUCCAUCAAUGCACCCUGUCUCUCUUUAGUAGGGAGCCGAGGCACCCUUCUAUGACUCAGUCUUGUCACGUUACAGUAUGAGGAACUGCGCAAAAGCAGAUUGAAGCAAA